AGCGUCUUGGAACAGCUUGGCAGUUCGUCGGGCUCAUAUUCCAGCGAUGGAACGCGACCCGAAAGUCCCUGGAUCGAGACCAGGAGACGCUA
Rhodotorula graminis WP1 is the source of this 92-nucleotide non-coding RNA. NCBI's taxonomy places the organism in Eukaryota, Fungi, Basidiomycota, Microbotryomycetes, Sporidiobolales, Sporidiobolaceae. The record is from the annotation of a RefSeq genome assembly.